UACAGAGGUCUCAAGCGUUGUUCGGAUUCAUUGGGCGUAAAGGGCGCGUAGGCUGCGGGGUAAGUCGGGUGUGAAAUCUCGGGGCUCAACCCCGAAACUGCACUUGAUACUGCCUCGCUUGAGUACUGGAGAGGAGACUGGAAUUUACGGUGUAGCAGUGAAAUGCGUAGAUAUCGUAAGGAAGACCAGUGGCGAAGGCGAGUCUCUGGACAGUUACUGACGCUGAGGCACGAAGGCCAGGGGAGCAAACGGG
Molecule: ribosomal RNA, 253 nt
Filed under: uncultured bacterium
Lineage: Bacteria
Description: partial 16S ribosomal RNA
Rfam family: Bacterial small subunit ribosomal RNA
Source: RNAcentral